AGCAUCCCCUUUGCAAGAUUGCAUAAAAGAGGGAGCAACAGAGUAUAAACAUAUAUCAUGACUAAAACAUACUAAGUAUUAUUACUCGGCCAGCAAGGAAAGAUAAACAUACGACCUGAACUGAAUUAACCAGUGCGCACGACCAUAUAAAAAAAAUAAACAAACUUCCUUUGACAAAAAGUUUCUAAUUAAAUCAUGGCUGCGCCUGGGCAGCGUUAUUGUGAGAGUGAAAGUGGACGUGCUGCUACUCCCCUCAUUCCCAACAUGUAUCAAGUACCUGCAUUGAGUAAUGCAAGAGUGAGAUGACACAUCUCAGCAAGUAAAAUAAUAUCAAACAGUUUAACCACAUAAGAACAUUGUUUUACCACCACUUGAUUCCACAACCUUCUUAUUACGAAGGUGCAGCACGUAUACAACGUACAACGCACCUAGUUACCACACCUCGCAGGUAGAAACCACAAUAGUAACAUAGUAAUGUCACACUUCAUAUAUUUCCUCAUGAGUGCAAAUGUCUGCAAAUGCAAGGAUGACUUCUGCCUUCAUACCUCUAAGGAUAUGAAGCCGCAUCGUACCCCUCCUCGGGCAACGUACGAUGCUAAAAAUGUACCGGUACGGUCGGACCAUAAGAUCACGACAUCACUUCAAAAUGCAAGAUGGAUGAUGCGAUGUGCAUGUCAUGCCUACAACACUUCAUAUAACAUGAUUCAAAAAGACACUUCAACUUCAUCCAGAUGGGAAUCAACCACAUAUAUCAUUACCAAAUUAUGAUCAUCCACAAUAUUAGACAAUUGAGAAUUAAUACUUCCAAACAAAUAAACUUCAUCAUAGAAUUCAAUGAUUAACAUAAUUAAAACUUAUGCAUACUCAAUGACAGGGAAUAGGAUGCAAACCAAACGGUAGCAACCACCACUGUAUUUACUUGCCUUUACCGGAAGUUCGGGCAAAUCCCUAAGUACGAUCCGGAAGUCCACCACCUGCUUUUCACACCCAGCUUAGUACACCAAUUUCACAUAAUCAGGCCCAUAAGCGACGCCGCACCUACGCACAACUCAAACCCCGCCGCGGGUUACAUCUCUCCCUACACCCACCAAACUGCAGCGGCGCUGCUUAAUAAUUUCAUAACUUUAAAAUUAUGACAGCAGUGGUAACAAACAAAAACUCCAGAGGCAUCUACAUAAAAUUCCCCACAAGUUUUGUAUACAAUUUAUAAUUAAAUUCCAAUAUCUAAUUAGCCCAAAACAGUCCACAAGAUGAACCCUGUAAUCUGUUUUUCUUUGUCUUUUAGACAGCGACAUACCCAGAUUCAAACAGCGAUAUCUUUUAAAAUAUAAUUCCAAAUCAAGCGCAUAAGUACUCAUUGGAAAGAUAAGACAAAUCCCUACAUGAUUACCAUACUGGUUAACACUAAUUACCCACGAAAAAUUCCCAGAAACUGCUAAUACCACUGCUGUUCACCCACCUGAAAAAUCUGUUUUUUUUGGACAGCAACAUAACCGGAUUCAAACAACGAUAUCUCCUGAAUUAUAACUCCGAAUCGAGCGCAUAAGUACUUGUUGGAAAGAUAACAUAAAGCCCUACAUGAUUCUCAUACUGAUUAACACUAAUUACUCCCGAAAAAUCCCCAGAAACUGCUAAUACUGCUGCUGUUCAUCCCCCUGAAAAUCUGUUUCUUUGGACAGCCACAUACCCGGAUUCAAACGGUGAUAACUUUCAAUUUAUAACUCCAAAUUGAGCGCAUAAAUACUCGUUGGAAAGGUAAGGUAAAGUUCUACAUGAUCCCCAAACUGAUUUCCCUUAAUUCCUCACGAAAAAAACACAGAAACUGCUAGACUACUGCUGUUCACCCACCACCUAAAAUUCUGGACAGCCCCCCUCUACCCAAUCGCAAACGCAACCUCUAAUCAAUUAAAUUGCAGCGCAAAUGAACAAGGGAUGAACACAAAAAUCACCUUGGAUUCUCCCCCUUUCCUUCCUCCCUUCUUCCCUCCACCAAAACGAUUGAAGACUCGCACCACGACGACGAUGAUCCGAGCGGCAAGGAUUGUCACCUUGGGAGGAGGGGAUUGGGGGGGGGGGGCUAGGGUUUGGUGGCUGCAAGAAUGGAGAGAGGAGGAGAUAGGCAGGGGGGCGGCGGCCAAGGGGGGAGAGAAGUGGGGGGGCGGCUGCACAUGGGGGGAGGGGGUUAGGAGGGAGGCGGCUAGGGUUUGGGAGGGUUAAUGGGCCGAAACUCCAAUUGCGGCCCAACUAACCCACGCGACAGCUCCCGACCGCAACGCAAGCGUCAAAUCAAAUAAAUUCUACUGCCCUAGUUGUGAAUGUUUUCCACAAAAUCCCAAAUCCCCAAAACAACAACCGGAUGAGGAAAAAAACAAAAAGAACAACCCCCAACUUCUCUUCUUUGCAAAUCGGGUAUCACACUCUACCCCUCUUAAAAAGAAUUCGACCUCGAAUUCUGACGCUUCUAUCGGAACAACAAAAGAAAGGUUAAUGAAUCAACAAAACUCACACAUAAAGAAAAGUUCGAGUACUUCUGCCGCAUCAGCUCCUCAAGCUCCUAGGAUUCUAAGAUACGCAGCAGACGACACUCUAGAGUCUGCUCUUGCUACACAGGAAUCGGCUCUAGCUCGAUUUGAUGGUCUGGAUUCCGCAAAUACUUCCUCAACAAAAAGACAUGGAAUACUUGGUGUACUCUGAUCACAGAUUCCGACAAUUACAUGUGCUAAGCCCAGCUGCCAACUCGGCCAAGAUAGCAGACGGUCCUAUAUACCUCGGACCAAGCUUUCCUGACACCAAAUCAAUCAUUGACAUAUGCAAGUACUUCAAGGAAUGUAUAUAUGAAUGCAAGGCAUAUAAUGUUCCUAUAGGCUAAACCAAACUUAGCCACACAAGAGCAACUUCAAGAGAGCAACUUAAUGCUUGCAUAUUUCUAGAUAGCAGCACAACGGUUAAUUGUUUUGCUCCUAAGUCACAAAAAUAUGCAUCGAAAAUUAGUAAACUAGGACUUUAUGGAAAACUUAUAAAGUCCACUAUACCCUUGGUAUUAUCAUCACAACAAGAUUUGACACUUAGAAAGGUCAAACAGUGCUAAACGUAAAUUCUGUCCAGACUUGGACAUAAUUCAACUACUCAAUUCAAAAAUCCAUAAUUGGAGUCUCAAUCAUCCAAUUUAGGAGCUCCCAGACUUUUUAGAAAGCUAGUAGAAUUGUCUAUAAUUCAUUUAUAAACAUAUCAAGUUAAUUCAAUGCAUAUUAAGGUCAAAAGACACGAGAAAGGCUCUGCUGUCCAAAUUUGGACAGAUUCAGAGAUCACACUUAAAACAGCUGUAACUUAACUUAUAGAUCUCCAAAAAAAAUUAAUCCAAAAUUUGUUGUAACGAUUAAGAAAAGUACUACAACUUAUUUAUAAUUUAUAAAUAGUUAUUCGAAGUUUAAAUUGGGCAAACCAAGGUCAGCUUCGAAAUCUGUAUAGAAUCUGCACAGAUUUCAAGACUAGACUUGAGAAAAUCAUAACUCCCAAACUACUAGACCUAUGGUCAUGAAAUUUUUACACAAGUAAGAUAAAGAAGUUGGCUACAACUUUUAUAAAUAACAUCUCUCCAGAAAAGAUGGUUUACUUCACUGAACUAGCUGCAUAACUAAAAUUGGUCAUGCAGUCCCAAUAGCAAGCAAUAGAUUUUAUCAGGUUCAUUACUCUUCUAAGAUUAAGCGUUCAUUGAAAGACUAAUAACUUUAGGUUCUUCAUUACGAGACACCUAGAACAAAUAUAAGUAUAGAAGCAAUAUGAUAACCUUUUAAAUCAUUUAAGCCUAAUCUCACAUCAUGCAAACAAGAAUCAAUUUAAGCAUGUUAUGUCUGCCCACAUAUUCAUCCAAGCACAUUCUAUACAUGAUAUCAUAACUCCCUGUAGCUAACAAAAUUUUGCAAAUAUAAACUCACUAAAAAGAUUAUAACAUUCCCUAGAACUUUUAUUAUAAUGAGUGUCUCGGAAUUGGUUUCCAAACCGAUAAAACAAUGCAACUCUUUUGUUUCAAAACUGAUAAGAUUGAAACAAUGGACAACUAAAAUUCAAAAACCUAUAACUCCUGCUAUACUCAACUUAAACUACAACGAACACGCGUUGGAAAAGUUUUGAAAAUUGUCCACGACUUUUGCAAUAAAGUUGCACCCAAAUUUAUCCUUAUAGCCCACAACUUUGCAUGACCUACAGCUAAACUCAUCCUGAGAUACUGCACAUUAGAGAUUCGACUUAUAUCCGGGCAACCACCUCUCCAAAUCUAUUUAACAGACAGUUACAAGUAAAUACCCAUUAAAAGGGUACUGAAAAUACCUACAAGUUUUGCUUAAAGAGAAUUCGCAAAUUUGUGCUCUGCAACUAUCAAAACGCGGUCGAUUUAUUGGUGAUUAUAACGACGCCUAAAGUUCAGACACAACAGUGCAACAACUUCAGAGCAACCUAACUCCAAUUAUAUGCAAUGAGAAUUAGAAACCCAUACUCUUUGAAAAGAUCAUGAAAUUACUAAAACUUUCAUAAUCCACAAAGACCAAAUUAUACCGUCUUCAAUGUCUACUCUUCCGUACAAAAUUAAAGACUCACUCUGCUAGAGACACCAACAAAGAUGUUUUAAGAAACCCAUAUCUCUCAAAUGUUUAGACCAAACAUGGUGAUUAAGCAUCCUAUGGAAAGAUGCAGAAACAUACUACAAAACAUUCUAGAUAAGUGAAGCAUGAUUCAGCCUCCAACUAAUUUAAAAUGCCUCCCGAAACCAAACAACACAUUAUCAACAAUAAUAAAAAACAAUAUAAAAUGAAACCCAAGUCAAUGGCAGGUGCCAUCAACACUAGGAUUUUCCACUACCAAACUGGGAUGCAACUCCACAAAGUCUUUAAAUAACACUCUACCAAAUAGGUUAGAACACUAAGCACAACAAUCAAUGAAUUCAACAACCUCGUUUGUUAAUGCCACUAAGGUCAAACAUCCAUGUACCGACAAUGUAUGAAACACCUGACAUACCCGUCUCUAGCUCUAUAAAACAUGGUUGUUAUUACACAAGAAUCCAACUACUAGAAGUCUCCAAAACUAUUCUGUUGACGUGAAGCAAAUGGUGCUCAUGUCAUAUAACAUCUUUUCCCCCUCUCAAAAGAGAUAAAAUUUGCAAUACUCAUAAAGCAAUGGAGGGAUAACAACAAGAAAAACCUAAUGUACUUCUUGACACAGACUCAUGCAAAAGCUUCAUAAAUAUUACUUUCAACACUAAAAUAAUAACACGAUACUAUGCUCAACAGGAGUAAUUGGACUUCAAUAAGAUAAUCCACCUAACCCAACUACUUUGAUUAACCUCACAUACAACAAUACCUCCUAUUAUUGCACUUGAACAAUUUGUACCUAGUGAUGUCAUAGGAUGAAUUCAAUGUAGUAGACAUACAUGAUCUAUCAAACCAUCAUUCAUAUAAUAAAAAUCUCCAUCUAAUGCAACAGCCACAUCAUUAUAGAGGUAGAUGACUAACAAACAUAAGCAACUUCCAGUUAAACAUUGACUUUGUUUAAGAUAAAGCGGUCCAAAUAAUAAUUCCACAAGCAUGCAUAGAGAACUGAUCAUAUAAAAAAAACUACCAUGUAUCAUCGGCGAUUAAAAACAAUAUAAAACGGGUUGUCCAUAUCGUCCGCACGACUAGCCUCCAACAAAUAAAAAUUAUGCAUAACCUUUUUGCUAUAGAAACAAACCAUAGAAGGAAAAUAUGCAUGCCUCUUCAACUAUAAUAUAGACAUAAAAUCCACUUGAAAUCACCCUAUUUAUUAUUAAAGAUAAGGUUGCACACAAUAAGAAAACCUAUCAUGUAAACAUGGUUGGACUUAUCUACCCACGUCAUCUUGCAAAUUCACUUGAGUUCUUCUAGUCUCAAGAUUUCAUAGACAGUACAACAUUGCCUUUGCUCUAUGGAGACAAACCUAUUGUACUCUAAGAUCAAGUUGGCAAGUAGCCACACUAGCCAAAAAAAAAGGUGAGGUGUAAAGCACUGCACCCAUGGAAAUAUUACAUUGAUAAGUUGGGUUGUAACCCAACAGUCAAUCAAACUCAACAACACCAUAAAACUUCAUUGUAUAGUGUUUUCACACUACACCAAGUCGGAUUAGAUCCUCUAUACACAAGCUCAAUAAACAAUCGGUCCUACAAGUACUAGAACCCAAGAAUCCUUUUGGGAAAAAAACAUCCACAGUCAAGCAUAUAGAAAUAUAUGAUGGUAAUAGCUCAGAGAUUAGUAAACAUUGCAUCCCAAACAACAUCAUGACGAUAUGUACAUAAAACAAGUACAUUAGUAGCUUCACUUGCAUAAUAAUUUCAAUAACAACCACAUAAAGAAACCAAUAUUAAAUAGAAGUAACAUUUCAUAUCAAGCAUUACGUCGUUAACGACAUACCUCAUCAAACCAUAAAGGGGUUUGGAGUAAGGAAAUUCUAGUCAUCUAUACAAUAAAAUACUAAUAUGAAAGAUAUAUGAACCCAUACCCUUCCUAUAUGUGCAAGUGUGUCAAAUUUAUCUUCAAAUUGCGUAGAAUCUAAAGCCUAUCCUCUGAUACCAACUGUAACACUCCAUGGUUCCACAAACAACCCGGAAUGCUACUGUACUACACUUCCGACGUCCAUAUAUAAAAUUUCGGCAGCAUCCCCUUUGCAAGAUUGCAUAAAAGAGGGAGCAACAGAGUAUAAACAUAUAUCAUGACUAAAACAUACUAAGUAUUAUUACUCGGCCAGCAAGGAAAGAUAAACAUACGACCUGAACUGAAUUAACCAGUGCGCACGACCAUAUAAAAAAAAUAAACAAACUUCCUUUGACAAAAAGUUUCUAAUUAAAUCAUGGCUGCGCCUGGGCAGCGUUAUUGUGAGAGUGAAAGUGGACGUGCUGCUACUCCCCUCAUUCCCAACAUGUAUCAAGUACCUGCAU
Molecule: long non-coding RNA, 6940 nt
Filed under: Zea mays
Lineage: Eukaryota; Viridiplantae; Streptophyta; Magnoliopsida; Poales; Poaceae
Description: long non-coding RNA (ZMAY_LNC004817)
Source: RNAcentral